AGCAGCCGCGGUAAUUCCAGCUCCAAUAGCGUAUAUUAAAGUUGUUGCAGUUAAAAAGCUCGUAGUUGAAUUUCGGGAUCAAUUAAUUGGUCGUGCCUAUGGUACGUACUGAUUUUAUUGGUUUCUCCCUUCUGACGAACCAUGAUGUCAUUAAUUUGGUGUCGUGGAGAAUCAGGAUUGUUACUUUGAAAAAAUUAGAGUGUUUAAAGCAAGCUAACGCUUGAAUACAUUAGCAUGGAAUAAUGAAAUAGGACGUUUGAUCCUAUUUUGUUGGUUUCUAGGAUCGACGUAAUGAUUAAUAGGGAUAGUUGGGGGCAUUAGUAUUCAAUUGUCAGAGGUGAAAUUCUUGGAUUUAUUGAAGACUAACUACUGCGAAAGCAUUUGCCAAGGAUGUUUUUCAUUAAUCAAGAACGAAAGUUAGGGGAUCGAAGACGAUCAGAUACCGUCGUAGUCUUAACCAUAAACUAUGCCGACUAGGGAUCGGAUGAUGUUAAUUUUUUUAAUGACUCAUUCGGCGCCU
Molecule: ribosomal RNA, 520 nt
Filed under: uncultured Glomus
Lineage: Eukaryota; Fungi; Glomeromycota; Glomeromycetes; Glomerales; Glomeraceae
Description: SSU rRNA
Rfam family: Eukaryotic small subunit ribosomal RNA
Source: RNAcentral